AUUGAACGCUGGCGGCAUGCCUUACACAUGCAAGUCGAACGGCAGCGGACCUUCGGGUGCCGGCGAGUGGCGAACGGGUGAGUAAUGUAUCGGAACGUACCAUAGAGUGGGGGAUAACGUAGCGAAAGUUACGCUAAUACCGCAUAUUCCCUGAGGGGGAAAGCAGGGGAUCGCAAGACCUUGUGCUCUUUGAGCGGCCGAUAUCAGAUUAGCUAGUUGGUGAGGUAAAGGCUCACCAAGGCGACGAUCUGUAGCGGGUCUGAGAGGAUGAUCCGCCACACUGGAACUGAGACACGGUCCAGACUCCUACGGGUGGCUG
RNAcentral lists this ribosomal RNA (319 nucleotides) under uncultured Pseudomonadota bacterium. RNAcentral describes it as "bacterial SSU rRNA". It matches the Rfam family "Bacterial small subunit ribosomal RNA", at positions 30 to 351 of the family's 1533-position model. Lineage: Bacteria; Pseudomonadati; Pseudomonadota. The record is from RNAcentral.